UUCGGGCCUCUCGCGUCAGGAUAUGCCUAGGUGGGAUUAGCUAGUUGGUGAGGUAAGGGCUCACCAAGGCGACGAUCCCUAGCUGGUCUGAGAGGAUGAUCAGCCACACUGGAACUGAGACACGGUCCAGACUCCUACGGGAGGCAGCAGUGGGGAAUAUUGCACAAUGGGCGCAAGCCUGAUGCAGCCAUGCCGCGUGUGUGAAGAAGGCCUUCGGGUUGUAAAGCACUUUCAGUCGUGAGGAAGGUGGUGUAGUUAAUAGCUGCAUCAUUUGACGUUAGCGACAGAAGAAGCACCGGCUAACUCCGUGCCAGCAGCCGCGGUAAUACGGAGGGUGCGAGCGUUAAUCGGAAUUACUGGGCGUAAAGCGCAUGCAGGUGGUUUGUUAAGUCAGAUGUGAAAGCCCGGGGCUCAACCUCGGAAUAGCAUUUGAAACUGGCAGACUAGAGUACUGUAGAGGGGGGUAGAAUUUCAGGUGUAGCGGUGAAAUGCGUAGAGAUCUGAAGGAAUACCGGUGGCGAAGGCGGCCCCCUGGACAGAUACUGACACUCAGAUGCGAAAGCGUGGGGAGCAAACAGGAUUAGAUACCCUGGUAGUCCACGCCGUAAACGAUGUCUACUUGGAGGUUGUGGCCUUGAGCCGUGGCUUUCGGAGCUAACGCGUUAAGUAGACCGCCUGGGGAGUACGGUCGCAAGAUUAAAACUCAAAUGAAUUGACGGGGGCCCGCACAAGCGGUGGAGCAUGUGGUUUAAUUCGAUGCAACGCGAAGAACCUUACCUACUCUUGACAUCCAGAGAACUUUCCAGAGAUGGAUUGGUGCCUUCGGGAACUCUGAGACAGGU
Molecule: ribosomal RNA, 842 nt
Filed under: Vibrio neocaledonicus
Lineage: Bacteria; Pseudomonadati; Pseudomonadota; Gammaproteobacteria; Vibrionales; Vibrionaceae
Description: bacterial SSU rRNA
Rfam family: Bacterial small subunit ribosomal RNA
Source: RNAcentral